Molecule: unclassified non-coding RNA, 209 nt
Filed under: plant metagenome
Description: partial contains small subunit ribosomal RNA, internal transcribed spacer 1, and 5.8S ribosomal RNA
Source: RNAcentral
UCUCCGUUGGUGAACCAGCGGAGGGAUCAUUACUGGAAUCGCAAGAUCCCACAACCCUGUGAACCUACCGAAACGUUGCCUCGGCGGGUGCCCGGCCUCUGCGCCGGGCGCUGCGCCCGCCGGCGGCCCCCUACUCUGUCUCUGCAGCGUGGCAUCUCAGAGUCCCAGAAAACAAGUCAAAACUUUCAACAACGGAUCUCUUGGCUCAC